Molecule: long non-coding RNA, 954 nt
Organism: Sorghum bicolor (sorghum)
Lineage: Eukaryota; Viridiplantae; Streptophyta; Magnoliopsida; Poales; Poaceae
Exons: 4
Source: RefSeq, a predicted model, not a curated record
UGUAAAGUGGUUUACCCAGUUGUAUGACGCAGACUGUUAUUACCUUUCAAUAAGAGCUGAGAUUUUUCUCCUUAAAAAAACAAGACUAUACAUGGUGAAAUACAGAUGUUAUUUACUGCAUUAUCAAUUUACAAAAAAAAAAGUAUGUGCUACUUUGACAUGACAUGUGUUGUUUCAGGGCAUGCUCUCGGCAAAGGGUCUCUUUGCCGAGUACCUGAUGCUUGGCACUAGGCAAAGCAUCCAGCGCUCGGCAAAGGCCGGGAUUCCGGAUUUCCGGUAGUGGAAGAAUGUUGUUAUAUUUCAUAGUGUUGAGAGAUAUGACAACAUUCUUUCAGGUACAUACAGAUCAAUAUAUACCACUACCAAAUGGAGGACUGGUGGGAGGAGAGCAAGCUUAGAUGCAAGAUGAGAAACCCCACUACAAAUUGGGAUGGCAAAGUUCCUUAUUGAAUCCGCCAUGGAGAGUACAUUGAAUGUCAGUAUGUUUCUAGCUCAAAGGAUGUUUGGCCUAGGAUGUCUUUUGGGCAAUAAUCCUAUAUCCAGAUGAAAUGGUGAGCUCAACUAUGUCGCCAAUUCCAAUAUUUAAUCAGGUCUGGGUGACUUGUGAAAUAUUAAUCUGCUGAUUAUCUGAUAAUUCAAGCAAGUACCAGCUAAGGUUUCUGGAUCAGCAUAUGGAAAGAAGAGUAGGGAUGUCCUAAACACUAUUCAGAGUAUUCUGCGAUUUGGACCAAGGAAAGACAGAUUUUGUAAUUGUAAGAAAUGAAAUGGAGCAGUAUUGUAGCUUGAAGAUUUCUUCUGCUUUGGUCUUCAACUAAACAUCAAGUUUCUUUGGGGCGCGGCUACCUAUGCAGAUGUAAUUUUAUCUGAAACAGCCACGGCAACAAUGUUUUGCUAAACUGAUUGUGCCACCUAAAGUAUAUAUACAGGAAUUCAGAUCAAUGUGACAACCAGCUA